RNAcentral lists this signal recognition particle RNA (259 nucleotides) under uncultured Faecousia sp. Its description in RNAcentral is "Bacterial large signal recognition particle RNA". It matches the Rfam family "Bacterial large signal recognition particle RNA". Rfam says of the family: The signal recognition particle (SRP) is a universally conserved ribonucleoprotein involved in the co-translational targeting of proteins to membranes. Archaeal SRP consists of a 7S RNA and homologues of the eukaryotic SRP19 and SRP54 proteins. The record is from RNAcentral. Lineage: Bacteria; Bacillati; Bacillota; Clostridia; Eubacteriales; Oscillospiraceae.
CGCACUAGUUGGGGAGAUAGCGGUGCCCUGUAACCUGCAACCCGCUACAGCAGGGAUGAAUUCCCGCACCCGGACUUGUUCGGUAUCGUCUGACCCUCGUAAGUGGUGUUGAGGGAUCGGUCUCACGCAACAGGCUCCCGUGAACCAUGUCAGGUGGGGAACCAAGCAGCAUUAAGCGGGCUCGUUUGUGUGCCGUGAGGAAGCCGUUCCUGAGCUAACUGCCUGGGUAACGGGUAUUGCGCAGGUUCAAAUGCGGGUG